Molecule: ribosomal RNA, 250 nt
Filed under: uncultured delta proteobacterium
Lineage: Bacteria; Deltaproteobacteria
Description: partial 16S ribosomal RNA
Rfam family: Bacterial small subunit ribosomal RNA
Source: RNAcentral
GACGAGGGGUCCAAGCGUUGCUCGGAAUCAUUGGGCGUAAAGCGGGUGUAGGCGGCUUUAUAAGUCAGGAGUGAAAGCCCUGGGCUCAACCCAGGAAGUGCUUUUGAUACUGUAAAGCUUGAGUGUGGGAGAGGAUAGUGGAAUUCCAGGUGUAGUGGUGAAAUACGUAGAUAUCUGGAGGAACACCGGAGGCGAAGGCGGCUAUCUGGCCCAACACUGACGCUCAGACCGGAAAGCGUGGGGAUCAAAC